Molecule: long non-coding RNA, 4612 nt
Filed under: Gallus gallus (chicken)
Lineage: Eukaryota; Metazoa; Chordata; Aves; Galliformes; Phasianidae
Description: lncRNA (ENSGALG00010018114.1)
Source: RNAcentral
GGGCUGGAUGGCAGCUCCUGUAGGGCUGCAGCAGCUCCCAUCCCCGCAUGCAGGAGGAUUUGCCUCCAGCCCUCCCACGGCUGAAUCCAAGCCAUUCUGAACCACCACCUCACAACAGACUCAGAGCAUCUUUCUCUGCUGCAGUUGCAAACCCGUCAGAGUUUCUCUUGAGUGUUUUGCACCUUGUGAUGACGUCUGUCUGGGCUCACACCCUUCAUGUAGCUGCAGCUCUCCCUUGUCGCCCUAACUUAGGGCAGUGCUGUGGGGAGCAGAGCAGGGCUGGGAGCCAUCAAAGGUGCCACGUGAGGACUUGUUAAGACCCACAUGCAGAAUAUGAGCUUCAGCCGACCCUCCCUGGUGAGUACUGAAACUUCAGGGGCUGAACAUUUUCUCCCUGCUGGUUUUCUUCAACUUUUUUUUACCUCUUUGAAUGAAACAGACAUGUUGAACUAUUUUGAUACGACUGCGGCAAUGGGAAUACGCUUUCCUGAUGCUUCCAAUCCUGCAAAAUCACCUGCUCUUCUCCAACCAAAAAUACAAGAGUUGACCUUCUGAUGUUGAAGGAAAACAAACAAGCCUCUGGAUUCCCCUCAGGAAAACAAAUGGUCUCUGCUGUUCCAGCAUGGCCCUAUUUGGACAGCUCAAGGCUGGAAAUUCAAAAUUAGCAUUUGACAAUGAAACAAUCCAGGCAUGGAUUUUAAAAAGAGCAAUGAAUGGAAAGAGUUUUACCGUCAUUUAGGGAACUCUUCCCUUUCUUCUCUGACCACUUUUCUUUGCUGCUUGGUGCUACUGCCCUAGGAGGAGAUUUUGGGCUGCCCUGCCUUCCUUCAUCUCUGCAGGUUCCUGCUGGUGCUGCCCUAAUCUGGGUGAAGAGGAGAAAAUGUCUCUCCAGGCUCACACUAUGCAUAUGGAGAGUGGAAGAGGUCCAUGUGGGGAUGGGAGUAAUCCUGACAGGGGUAUGAACACUGGGGCUUCUUGACCAGGCUGUAGCCAUUUACCUUGCAGAGCCAGUGUGUGCUCUGCUGCCCAGCAGAGCAGUGGGGACUAAAGCAAUUAGAAGCAGUGGUACAUGGCUAAGAUGGAGGAGGAAAGGGCAGCACACGUGACUUUAUGGGCAGGUGUGAGGUCCCCAUCCCUGGCAGCAGCACGCAGCACAGCAGGGAAAACCCUUCCCCAGAUCCUGGCAUCCCUUCUUCCUCAUAGUGCUGCUACAAACAGCACAGCAGUGACUCACCCAGGGAGCAGGGCUGAGCUGGCUCUGCUCACCCUGUCCCUUGACCCCGUGUUCCUGCCAGUGAUGCAUGUUUUUCCAUACAGGUCCCACACAGUGGCUGUGAGCACCCCAGAGGGGAUUUUUAAAUGGACAUGGCCAAAGGAUUGCAGCCUGGGAGCAAAUCAAAGCAAUCCUUAAGGGAUAGAGGAGCCAUUCCCACAGCGACCUGUGCUGUGAGGCACGAACCUGCCUGCAGAAAGCACACAAUGCAAGGCCAGCUCUUGGCACGGCAUGGUUCCUGGUGUGCUGGCCAGACAUCUCUGCGUGGGGACAUCCCUGCUACCUGCUGGCAGAUUGCAGCCUGUGCCCACCAAAAGGAAGGCCCACCUGAUGCCACUCGUUUGCUGGGAAGAUGGUGCUCUGACUUCCCUUCAGGCUUUCUGGAAGAUGCCAGAGAGGACCGUUAGCACAGCAGGAUACUUCCUAGCAGACCCUACACCAUAUCUGUGCUCAGUAAAUACGUCUGCUUGUAUCCCAUCCAUUUCCCUGACACCCAAGACCUGCCACUGCUCACCCCCACAUCAUGUGCCCUUUGGGUCAAGUUGACUGGGAAUGCACCCAACCCACCUACAUUUGUGUUUGUGCAAAGGUUGUUUUGUCUCUGGCAGGUCCUGAUUCUUUUUCCAUGGUGGUUUUGCACUGCAUUGCAUUGCGUUGCCAUCAUCCUUCCAAGAAAAGCUCUCCAAGUACCUUCUGCAGGUGUCAUAGCACCAUUUCAUAAAUGUCUUUGGGGACAGAUUUGCAAUGCAUUAAGUACAGCUGUCAGCAAGAUGUCCCCACCAUUUUAACGCUAGAGCUGGGUCAGAGCCACCUCCCAGGGAACAGAUGACCUGAAAGGUGUCCUCAAUCUAUCAGAUCCUCCAAAUUAAGCCCUGCAAAAUGAGACCAGUAACGAGGCCAAAGAAGGGACGCAAUGUUGUGCAAAUACUGCAGGCUUAUCUGCUUAUCUGGAUUAUGCAACAGGCCUAGAAGUGCUUCUAUCCUAAGAACUUUUAAAAUGGUCUUCUGAGCUCUCAGGAGGUGUUGCAACACAGUGGCUCACUGCACUCCAAGGUGUGAGGCAUGUUCUGAGGAAAUUCUUGACUUACCUGUUGGCUUCCAGGCAAACUCAGUCAGUGUGUGCUACCCAGCACUUGCUCAUAGCUCAACGUAUGACUUUCCUGCUUCCAGAGAAGCCAGGGAGGAAGCAGAGAUGGUGCCUUGCAGAAAGCGUAAGGGCACAGCCAUGUUGCUGUGCUCUGCUUGUGGCGGAUGGGAGCCAGGAUAAGGCCACAAAGCCAUUCAGCUCUCUGAACUCCUACACUGCUUUUCUAACUUGACCCUGACAGCAGGAACUGAGCAGGACAGCUGUGCCAGGAUGAGUGGAAUCAGGACCCGUAAGCUCCGAAGCGUUAGGGUCAGCAAAGCCAUUUAUGUCAUACGGGAGGGAUGACAAAGGCAGUGACCUACAUGCAGGUCUGUCUGGUUGCACCACAGACAGGGAAAAGGCCACAGUGCAAGAAAUCCUCCUGUGAUGGAAGUGAAGGUGAGCACUACCCUGGGAGCAGAGCUCUUCUCUGGAGAUGAGUUCCCCUAUGCUGAGCUGGAGAGCUUGACUUCCUCAUCUCCUGUCUGGUUUCCAUAUGAUGCUCGAGGUAUGGAUGGCCCCAUACCAAUCUCAGCUCCACCAUACUGGUGAUUUGAGGUGUUUCUCUCAGAGAUCAUAGGUAAUUCAACAGAAAUAUACAGCCAUGACCAGGAGUUAGAGGGUCACAUACCUCUAAUUGGGCUCUGAGAGCCAGGCCAGGUCUUUAUUUCUCACACUAUAUCCAAUGCUCUCUGACUUGGUGGUGAGACCAGUAGAGAUGUUCAGAUGUGCAUUCUCUGUGCUACCCGGGGAGUUUGGGAGCACUCAGAUUUGGGGCAGAGCCCGUUCCCACUGCUCUGCAGGGAGCAGGCAUCUCCACCAGGCUUUUCCAGCAGCAGACACACCAGCAAAGUGCAUCCCACACUGCUGGAGCUGCAAGCAGCAGCACUGCUAUCGGUUGCCUCGUUACUUCCAGUAGAUCCCUGGGCUGGGUGCUCACUGUGUGCUUGCAAGGCUCAGUGUCUAGUGCAUAAGCCCUGGUUAUUCUUGUCCUCCUGGUUUUCUCCCAUUCCCUGCCCUAAUUUCUCCUCUCUGGAGCAGGCUUGCCUCUCCUGAACCCUCAAGCUAAAACUCUUCAUGUCCCCUUCCAACAUUCUUCUUCCCCGGAAGAGCUGCAGACAUACGGACUCCCAUGGGAGCAGAGUCCUCUUGUCCCAUGCACACACUGGAUUAUCUCCCAGCAGAUGCACAGGGGCAGCGAUGGGGACCUGCAGCCCCUUCCCAGUUUGCCUGGCUCUAACUGACAUAUCUCUGGGAGCUCAAACAGAACUCAAAUUGCACAAAUCCCUCUGAAAUACACGCUUGGCACUGGAAGCUCUGAUCGUCCCCGAGCAUAAGCUAAAUAGGAUUUUCUUCAAGUUUACCUUAAUACAAAGACCAGCUGCAUCCUGUCAGGCUGGAGGAGAUCGGCUUUGCGAGCGGAGGAGAAAAGAGUGAGAAAGAAGCAAAUUAAAGUAUUCCUGAGAGGGGAGAGGAUGUGUGAAUCCCUGAUGUGAAAUGGCCUGAAAUGAAAUCGCUGCAACAAGCAGCCUCCACAGAGUGCUUCUAGACUUGUGCUGUUGCCUUUCAUCGACCAAUUUAUUUCACCAAAGGCAAAAAUGCACGUCUGAGUGGACAGGACUCUUUGGCAGGAAUGGUACUGCUCUGUAAGGAGAUGGGAAGGAAAUGGAAGACUCCCAGUGACUGCCUGUCUGAAAACGUCACACCUUAUAGCUGCAGAAAGAAGAACAUUUUCUGUGGAUCUGGGGUCACUGCUGUUGCUCAUCUGUGUGCUUGAAGCCAAACGUUCACAUCAGCACUGGGAAGAGGACUGAGGCUCAUGGAGGAUUUGGGGAAAGCUUGCCUGCCUCCUUUGUUGCCAUCAUAUUCAGCACAGACUCACAGCCCCUCUUGGUGGGCAAAGCUAUGGGGCAAAACGCUACAAGAAUAUCCUGGAGUGGACCCAUCUCCGUGCAGCUGCUGUGCAGGGAGCCAGAGGUGCCCAGGAUCGGGUCAGUGCUUCUCCUGUGAGAAAGCCAAGAGAUGAGCACAGCUCUUGGCAGAGUGGAGGAGCCCCAGGACAGCACCUCUACUGCAUCAGAGGAUCAAUGGCACUGCAAAGGACAGAGCUGCCCUUGUGCAGAAAUCUAUUUGCCUUGGGAUUUCUUUUCCACAGACAACUGCAGCUGUCACAGCGUUUAUCCAGUAAUAAAAUAUCCAGAGGUGCUGAGACU